AUUGAACGCUGGCGGCAGGCCUAACACAUGCCAGUCGAGCGGAUGAAGGGAGCUUGCUCCUGGAUUCAGCGGCGGACGGGUGAGUAAUGCCUAGGAAUCUGCCUGGUAGUGGGCGAUAACGUCCGGAAACGGGCGCUAAUACCGCAUACGUCCUGAGGGAGAAAGUGGGGGAUCUUCGGACCUCACGCUAUCAGAUGAGCCUAGGUCGGAUUAGCUAGUUGGUGGGGUAAAGGCCUACCAAGGCGACGAUCCGUAACUGGUCUGAGAGGAUGAUCAGUCACACUGGAACUGAGACACGGUCCAGACUCCUACGGGAGGCAGCAGUGGGGAAUAUUGGACAAUGGGCGAAAGCCUGAUCCAGCCAUGCCGCGUGUGUGAAGAAGGUCUUCGGAUCGUAAAGCACUUUAAGUUGGGAGGAAGGGCAGUAAGUUAAUACCUUGCUGUUUUGACGUUACCAACAGAAUAAGCACCGGCUAACUUCGUG
This 484-nucleotide ribosomal RNA is filed under the name uncultured bacterium. Its description in RNAcentral is "partial 16S ribosomal RNA". It matches the Rfam family "Bacterial small subunit ribosomal RNA", at positions 30 to 507 of the family's 1533-position model. The record is from RNAcentral.